RNAcentral lists this ribosomal RNA (254 nucleotides) under uncultured bacterium. RNAcentral describes it as "partial 16S ribosomal RNA". It matches the Rfam family "Bacterial small subunit ribosomal RNA", at positions 524 to 776 of the family's 1533-position model. The record is from RNAcentral.
UACGUAGGGGGCUAGCGUUGUCCGGAUUUAUUGGGCGUAAAGAGCUCGUAGGCGGUUCCGUAAGUCGGAUGUGAAAACUCGGGGCUCAACCCCGAGACGCCAUCCGAUACUGCGGUGACUUGAGUCUGGUAGGGGAACACGGAAUUCCUGGUGUAGCGGUGAAAUGCGCAGAUAUCAGGAGGAACACCGAUGGCGAAGGCGGUUCUCUGGGCCUUACCUGACGCUGAGGAGCGAAAGCGUGGGGAGCAAACAGG